Molecule: ribosomal RNA, 411 nt
Filed under: uncultured bacterium
Lineage: Bacteria
Description: partial 16S ribosomal RNA
Rfam family: Bacterial small subunit ribosomal RNA
Source: RNAcentral
UGGGGAAUAUUGCACAAUGGGCGCAAGCCUGAUGCAGCCAUGCCGCGUGUGUGAAGAAGGCCUUCGGGUUGUAAAGCACUUUCAGCGAGGAGGAAGGUGGUGAACUUAAUACGUUCAUCAAUUGACGUUACUCGCAGAAGAAGCACCGGCUAACUCCGUGCCAGCAGCCGCGGUAAUACGGGAGGGUGCAAGCGUUAAUCGGAAUUACUGGGCGUAAAGCGCACGCAGGCGGUUUGUUAAGUCAGAUGUGAAAAUCCCCGGGCUCAACCUGGGAACUGCAUUUGAAACUGGCAAGCUAGAGUCUCGUAGAGGGGGGUAGAAUUCCAGGUGUAGCGGUGAAAUGCGUAGAGAUCUGGAGGAAUACCGGUGGCGAAGGCGGCCCCCCUGGACGAAGACUGACGCUCAGGUGCG